This 680-nucleotide ribosomal RNA is filed under the name Salmonella enterica subsp. enterica serovar Saintpaul. RNAcentral's name for it is "bacterial SSU rRNA". It matches the Rfam family "Bacterial small subunit ribosomal RNA", at positions 1 to 670 of the family's 1533-position model. Lineage: Bacteria; Pseudomonadati; Pseudomonadota; Gammaproteobacteria; Enterobacterales; Enterobacteriaceae. The record is from RNAcentral.
AAAUUGAAGAGUUUGAUCAUGGCUCAGAUUGAACGCUGGCGGCAGGCCUAACACAUGCAAGUCGAACGGUAACAGGAAGCAGCUUGCUGCUUUGCUGACGAGUGGCGGACGGGUGAGUAAUGUCUGGGAAACUGCCUGAUGGAGGGGGAUAACUACUGGAAACGGUGGCUAAUACCGCAUAACGUCGCAAGACCAAAGAGGGGGACCUUCGGGCCUCUUGCCAUCAGAUGUGCCCAGAUGGGAUUAGCUUGUUGGUGAGGUAACGGCUCACCAAGGCGACGAUCCCUAGCUGGUCUGAGAGGAUGACCAGCCACACUGGAACUGAGACACGGUCCAGACUCCUACGGGAGGCAGCAGUGGGGAAUAUUGCACAAUGGGCGCAAGCCUGAUGCAGCCAUGCCGCGUGUAUGAAGAAGGCCUUCGGGUUGUAAAGUACUUUCAGCGGGGAGGAAGGUGUUGUGGUUAAUAACCGCAGCAAUUGACGUUACCCGCAGAAGAAGCACCGGCUAACUCCGUGCCAGCAGCCGCGGUAAUACGGAGGGUGCAAGCGUUAAUCGGAAUUACUGGGCGUAAAGCGCACGCAGGCGGUCUGUCAAGUCGGAUGUGAAAUCCCCGGGCUCAACCUGGGAACUGCAUUCGAAACUGGCAGGCUUGAGUCUUGUAGAGGGGGGUAGAAUUCC